CCCCUAACUUUUGGUCCUCCAAUGUGAUGAACCGGUGCAUGAGAGAAAAAGUAAAGUUUGCACCGAUACAUUGGAGAAGGCCUUAGAGAUUGUCGCGCAGCUCUUACAGUUUAACUUCAAAAAAUUAUGUAAAACCAGCUGAUUAUACCGAUGGAGGAUGUCUUUGUUUGUGUUGCAAUAUAUUUGAAAUGUUGCACCCAUGCACAACAAAGAAAGCGAAUAGGAACAGCAAAAACAAUCGCAAACCACACUGUAAUGACAAGAUGAAAUAAAAAAAAAUAUAACUAAAGUAAUCAGGUAUGCAUGCAACAUGCAAGUGAGACAUUCAGAGUAAUCAGAUCAAGAUAUUAGGGAUCCAGAUUCUGAAUAUUCUAUCAUCAAUUGUCGUGAUGAUGGGAAUAGUUACGAGGCAAAUCUGCAAAACGCCCAAGUCUUUUGGAACAAACUCUAGAUUGAAGGUAUUCAAGCAAACAAUAAUGUAACACGUACAUGUUUCAAUUAAAUAUGUCUUUGCUUAGUCAUGUUUAAGCAAAAGAAGCAGACAUGAAAGACAUAAACACACAAUACUAAGCAGUGCAGCUCCCAACAUACUACCUGUUAAGCCAACCUCUUUUAAAACAGCUCUUCAGCUUUGGCCUUCUCUCUGUAAUCCUGGGUGAAAUAAGAAAUGAUGCUGAGAUUCACAAUUAACUGAAAGGAAAAAAAUCUUACCUAUUAUUUAACCCACAAUCUAAUGCGCAGACGGGCCAAGUGUUGUCUUAGCGUACGGCGUGCUCCGAGAUUCGUGCCCCUUCGUACUCUCUCCUCCUCCCGAUUCCUCU
RNAcentral lists this long non-coding RNA (821 nucleotides) under Brachypodium distachyon (stiff brome). Its description in RNAcentral is "long non-coding RNA (BDIS_LNC004781)". The record is from RNAcentral. Lineage: Eukaryota; Viridiplantae; Streptophyta; Magnoliopsida; Poales; Poaceae.